UUGCUAUUUUCAUGAAGAGCGGCGAACGGGUGAGUAACGCGUGGGAAAUCUGCCGAGUAGCGGGGGACAACGUUUGGAAACGAACGCUAAUACCGCAUAACAAUGAGAAUCGCAUGAUUCUUAUUUGAAAGAAGCAAUUGCUUCACUACUUGAUGAUCCCGCGUUGUAUUAGCUAGUUGGUAGUGUAAAGGACUACCAAGGCGAUGAUACAUAGCCGACCUGA
RNAcentral lists this ribosomal RNA (223 nucleotides) under Lactococcus formosensis. RNAcentral describes it as "partial 16S ribosomal RNA". It matches the Rfam family "Bacterial small subunit ribosomal RNA", at positions 78 to 295 of the family's 1533-position model. Lineage: Bacteria; Bacillati; Bacillota; Bacilli; Lactobacillales; Streptococcaceae. The record is from RNAcentral.